RNAcentral lists this ribosomal RNA (113 nucleotides) under Rhodosorus marinus. RNAcentral describes it as "partial Eukaryotic large subunit ribosomal RNA". The record is from RNAcentral. Lineage: Eukaryota; Rhodophyta; Stylonematophyceae; Stylonematales; Stylonemataceae.
UGGAGAUAGUUUGUAGCAACGGAUGUUUGAGUAAUUGCGUUGAGUUGAUAUUUUCUGGAGAAAGGAGGAGAGGGGGAGUGGUGAGGGCCUGGAGGAGGAGGAGGGAGGAUUGA